Long non-coding RNA from Cyprinus carpio carpio, 450 nucleotides. The record is from Ensembl. Lineage: Eukaryota; Metazoa; Chordata; Actinopteri; Cypriniformes; Cyprinidae.
GAGUGUGUCAGCAAGUCUGAGAGUGACAAAGCAGAACAUCCUCCUCCUCCUCCUCCUCCAUAUGAUCUCCUGAACUUGGCGCGUCCUGGCUCAUGUAGACUGAGGCUUUGCCUUUAAAAGCUCAAGCGUGGACCGGUGAACACAUAGUCAGCGUGCUCCGCGUCUGAAACACAUUACCUUCAACCGAGAAGCGUUUGACUGAGGGCACAUCACCGACCAUGAGCUCUUCACGCAGCGUGGGACUUUAUCUGACGCUUUUACUCGCUCUUCUGUGCGAUGCAUCGGAAGACCCUCCUGUCCAAAAGGAAGUUACUGACACAGGGAUUGAUAAAGAUGGCCUUCAGCAUGAGUUGCCACUUAACCCUAAGGUGCUGGACGUUUUGAUGAUGCAGAAACCGAUCAUCCCUGACCCUUCCAAAGUAAUAGUUGCAGGCUCUUCAGACACGACCC